RNAcentral lists this unclassified non-coding RNA (329 nucleotides) under uncultured fungus. Its description in RNAcentral is "sequence contains ITS2". The record is from RNAcentral. Lineage: Eukaryota; Fungi.
AACGCACCUUGCGCCCUGUGGUAUUCCGCAGGGCAUGCCCGUUUGAGUAUCAUUAAAUCAUCAACUUCAAAAACUUUGUGUUUUUCGAAGCUUGGUCUUGAGGGUUUUUGCAGGCUUCUUGUGAGUCGGCUCCCUUUAAAUCCAUUAGCGAGACUUCCCUGUGCUGAACCGUCUCUUGACGUGAUAGUCUAUCUGCGUCGACUUUGGUUCUCGUUGGGCUUGCUUCUAACCGUCCCACACUUGUGGACAAUAGGAUUUGAGUGCAUAUAUGCGCCCUUUUCCAAACCUUUCUUGAUCUCAAAUCGGGUAGGACUACCCGCUGAACUUAA